Molecule: ribosomal RNA, 448 nt
Filed under: uncultured bacterium
Lineage: Bacteria
Description: partial 16S ribosomal RNA
Rfam family: Bacterial small subunit ribosomal RNA
Source: RNAcentral
UACCAGACUCCUACGGGAGGCAGCAGUGGGGGAUAUUGCACAAUGGGGGGAACCCUGAUGCAGCGACGCCGCGUGGGUGAAGGAGCGUUUCGGCGCGUAAAGCCCUAUCGGCAGGGAAGAAGGAGGACGGUACCUGACUAAGAAGCCCCGGCUAACUACGGGCCAGCAGCCGCGGGAAUACGUAGGGGGCAAGCGUUAAUCGGAAUUACUGGGCGUAAAGCGCACGUAGGCUGUAUGACAAGUCAAGGGUGAAAUGCCACGGCUCAACCGUGGAACUGCCUUUGAAACUGUCAAACUGGAGUAUGUGAGAGGGCGGCGGAAUUCCUGGUGUAGGAGUGAAAUCCGUAGAUAUCAGGAGGAACAUCAGUUGCGAAGGCGGCCGCCUGGCACAUAACUGACGCUGAGGAGCGAAAGCGUGGGUAGCAAACAGGAUUAGAUACCCCAGUAC